AGUGAACGCUGGCGGUAGGCCUAACACAUGCAAGUCGAACGGCAGCACAGUAAGAGCUUGCUCUUACGGGUGGCGAGUGGCGGACGGGUGAGGAAUACAUCGGAAUCUACUUUUUCGUGGGGGAUAACGUAGGGAAACUUACGCUAAUACCGCAUACGACCUACGGGUGAAAGCAGGGGAUCUUCGGACCUUGCGCGAUUGAAUGAGCCGAUGUCGGAUUAGCUAGUUGGCGGGGUAAAGGCCCACCAAGGCGACGAUCCGUAGCUGGUCUGAGAGGAUGAUCAGCCAAACUGGAACUGAGACACGGCCCAGAUCCCUACGGGAGGCAGCAGGGGGGAAUUUUGGACAAGGGGCGCAACCCUGAUCCAGCCAUACCGGGUGGGUAAAGAAGGCCUUCGGGUUGUAAAGCCCUUUUGUUGGGAAAAAAAAGCAGCAGGUUAAAACCCCGCUGUUCUGACGGAACCCAAAGAAAAAGCACCGGCAAACUGCGG
This 491-nucleotide ribosomal RNA is filed under the name uncultured bacterium. RNAcentral describes it as "partial 16S ribosomal RNA". It matches the Rfam family "Bacterial small subunit ribosomal RNA", at positions 29 to 506 of the family's 1533-position model. The record is from RNAcentral.